Molecule: ribosomal RNA, 253 nt
Filed under: uncultured bacterium
Lineage: Bacteria
Description: partial 16S ribosomal RNA
Rfam family: Bacterial small subunit ribosomal RNA
Source: RNAcentral
UACGUAGGGGGCAAGCGUUGUUCGGAUUCAUUGGGCGUAAAGGGUGCGUAGGCGGCGCGGUAAGUCGGGUGUGAAAUCUCGGAGCUUAACUCCGAAACUGCAUUCGAUACUACCGUGCUUGAGGACUGGAGAGGAGACUGGAAUUUACGGUGUAGCGGUGAAAUGCGUAGAUAUCGUAAGGAAGACCAGUGGCGAAGGCGGGUCUCUGGACAGUUCCUGACGCUGAGGCACGAAGGUCAGGGGAGCAAACGGG